RNAcentral lists this transfer RNA (73 nucleotides) under Nitriliruptorales bacterium. RNAcentral's name for it is "tRNA-Trp". It matches the Rfam family "tRNA". Rfam says of the family: Transfer RNA (tRNA) molecules are approximately 80 nucleotides in length. Their secondary structure includes four short double-helical elements and three loops (D, anti-codon, and T loops). Further hydrogen bonds mediate the characteristic L-shaped molecular structure. tRNAs have two regions of fundamental functional importance: the anti-codon, which is responsible for specific mRNA codon recognition, and the 3' end, to which the tRNAs corresponding amino acid is attached (by aminoacyl-tRNA synthetases). tRNAs cope with the degeneracy of the genetic code in two manners: having more than one tRNA (with a specific anti-codon) for a particular amino acid; and 'wobble' base-pairing, i.e. permitting non-standard base-pairing at the 3rd anti-codon position. RNAcentral also lists the same sequence under 4 other names. The record is from RNAcentral. Lineage: Bacteria; Bacillati; Actinomycetota; Nitriliruptoria; Nitriliruptorales.
AGGGGCGUAGCUCAACUGGCAGAGCGUCGGUCUCCAAAACCGAAGGUCGGGGGUUCGAGUCCCUCCGCCCCUG